GGGAACAACAUAAUAUGGUGCGAUGAGUCAUUUCGUGAGUUUUGAGUGAAAACCAAUGGCUAAAACUAUAUACUACACCAACCACUCCAUUAGAGAACGAACUUCGUACGAACAUGAAUAGUCCAAUUUCUUGCACCAAACGAUAUUGGAUGGAGCCCAAAACUUUAGGAACAUCGUAAUAUGGUGCGAUGAGUCAUUGGUGAGUUUUGAGCGAAAUCCAAUCGCUAAAACUAUGCAAUACACCAAC
This 247-nucleotide long non-coding RNA is filed under the name Prunus persica (peach). Its description in RNAcentral is "long non-coding RNA (PPER_LNC005231)". The record is from RNAcentral. Lineage: Eukaryota; Viridiplantae; Streptophyta; Magnoliopsida; Rosales; Rosaceae.